GGAGGUCAAAUUGUAGCCUUGGGAAUUACAAACGGAGUAUUUUUUACUCAAUUUAUUCCCGGGAAGGUCUGAGGAAUGAUCGAUAUCAUUUUCUAGCAGAAGAAUACCCUUAAAAGGGAUGCAGAGAAAUAGAAAAGGUGAGUUCGUGUGUUUUUCUGUCCUGGGAAAUUUGAGGGCUUAAACAGGCGGCUCGUGGAAAUGCUCUGUGAUCAGAUAUUUGAGUUAAAUUGCUACAGCGCUCUUGCGUAACUCAAUUCAGACUAUUCUUGACCUCC
This 275-nucleotide RNase P RNA is filed under the name Cimex lectularius (bed bug). RNAcentral describes it as "Nuclear RNase P". It matches the Rfam family "Nuclear RNase P". From Rfam's summary of the family: Ribonuclease P (RNase P) is a ubiquitous endoribonuclease, found in archaea, bacteria and eukarya as well as chloroplasts and mitochondria. Its best characterised activity is the generation of mature 5'-ends of tRNAs by cleaving the 5'-leader elements of precursor-tRNAs. Cellular RNase Ps are ribonucleoproteins. Lineage: Eukaryota; Metazoa; Arthropoda; Insecta; Hemiptera; Cimicidae. The record is from Rfam by way of RNAcentral.